RNAcentral lists this ribosomal RNA (920 nucleotides) under uncultured organism. Its description in RNAcentral is "bacterial SSU rRNA". It matches the Rfam family "Bacterial small subunit ribosomal RNA", at positions 510 to 1430 of the family's 1533-position model. The record is from RNAcentral.
AGAAGCGUCGGUAAGACGUGGGCCCCGAGCGUUAUCCGGUGUUACUGGGCGUAAAGAGUCGUGUAGGCGGUUCGAAAAGUUACCGGGUAAAUCCCAACGCUCAACGUUGGAACUGGAGGUAAGACUCUCGGACUAGAGUUUUCUACAGGGUGAAUGGAACUGUGGGAGGAGUAGUGAAAUGCGUUGAUCCCCACGGGAACACCAGUGGCGAAGGCGGUUCACUGGUAGAAGACUGACGCUGAGACACGAAAGCUAGGGUAUCGAAGCAGAUUAGAGACCUGCGUAGUCCUAGCCGUAAACGCAUGCUUGCUAGCUGCAUUUCCGCCCCUUCGGGGGUCAGGUGUGGCGAAGGUAACCCGUUAAGCAAGCCGCCUGGGGAUUACGGUCGCAAGACUAAAACUCAAAGGAAUUGGCGGGGAGGCACACAACCAGUGGAACAUGUUGUUUAAUUCGAAACAAACCGAAAAACCUCACCUGGGUUUGACAUGUAGCUGCUCACCCUAUGAAAGUAGGGCUCCUUCGAGGGUGCUACACAGGUGCUGCAUGGCUGUCGUCAGUUCGUUCCGUGAGGAGUGCCCUUAAGUGGGACAACGAACGCAACCCCCAUCGUAUGUUAUAUCUGUCAUACGAAACUGCCUUGCCGUUGGCGAGGAGGAAGGAGGGGCAGACGUCAAGUCUGCAUGGUCCUUAUACCCAGGGCUACAAACAUGUUACAAUGAGAAGCAACAAUGAGCUUCGCGAGCUCGCGAGAGUCAGCAAAUCUCAGAAACCUUCUCUCAGUGGGGAUUGGAGUCUGCAAUUCGACUCCAUGAGCGCGGAAUUGGUAGUAAUCGCAGAUCAGCUACGCUGCGGUGAAUACGUUCUUGCCUCUUGCACACACCGCCCGUCAAGCCAACAAAGUCGGGGUGAUAUGAAUCUCG